Molecule: ribosomal RNA, 409 nt
Filed under: uncultured Methanosaeta sp.
Lineage: Archaea; Methanobacteriati; Methanobacteriota; Methanomicrobia; Methanotrichales; Methanotrichaceae
Description: bacterial SSU rRNA
Rfam family: Archaeal small subunit ribosomal RNA
Source: RNAcentral
ACCGGGACCGACAGCAAUAUGAAGGCCAGGCUGAAGACUUUGCCGGAUUAGCUGAGAGGUGGUGCAUGGCCGUCGUCAGUUCGUACUGUGAAGCAUCCUGUUAAGUCAGGCAACGAGCGAGACCCACGCCCACAGUUGCCAGCGUACUCUCUGGAGUGACGGGUACACUGUGGGACCGCCGCUGCUAAAGCGGAGGAAGGAAUGGGCAACGGUAGGUCAGUAUGCCCCGAAUAUCCCGGGCUACACGCGAGCUACAAUGGUUGGUACAAUGGGUAUCUACCCCGAAAGGGGACGGGAAUCUCCUAAAACCAAUCUUAGUUCGGAUUGAGGGCUGCAACUCGCCCUCAUGAAGCUGGAAUCCGUAGUAAUCGCGUUUCAACAGAACGCGGUGAAUACGUCCCUGCUCCUU